Molecule: ribosomal RNA, 484 nt
Filed under: uncultured bacterium
Lineage: Bacteria
Description: partial 16S ribosomal RNA
Rfam family: Bacterial small subunit ribosomal RNA
Source: RNAcentral
AUUGAACGCUGGCGGCAUGCUUUACACAUGCAAGUCGAACGGCAGCGCGGGCUUCGGCCUGGCGGCGAGUGGCGAACGGGUGAGUAAUACAUCGGAACGUGCCCAGUAGUGGGGGAUAGCUCGGCGAAAGCCGGAUUAAUACCACAUACGACCUGAGGGUGAAAGCGGGGGAUCUUCGGACCUCGCGCUAUUGGAGCGGCCGAUGGCAGAUUAGCUAGUUGGUGGGGUAAAGGCCUACCAAGGCGACGAUCUGUAGCUGGUCUGAGAGGACGACCAGCCACACUGGGACUGAGACACGGCCCAGACUCCUACGGGAGGCAGCAGUGGGGAAUUUUGGACAAUGGGCGAAAGCCUGAUCCAGCAAUGCCGCGUGUGUGAUGAAGGCCUUCGGGUUGUAAAGCACUUUUGGCAGGAACGAAAAGGACUGUGCCAAUACCACGGUUCGAUGACGGUACCCGCAGAAUAAGCACCGGCUAACUACGUG